AAGAACUGGAAAAGAUGGGAGAAUCAAGAUGAGGGAGGGGUAAAUUCCCAGACUCGGGCAGCCAUAUUGUGAAAGACCAUAUUGAAGGCCAGUGUCAGAAUUUGGUGGUCAAAGCUGAAGUUUGCUGAACCUGCCAGAAAUGAUGCUCGGUUUGGAGAAGCAACCAUGUAAGCACCAUAUGGCAUGUCAAAACAGGAAGUGGGAAGGGGGAAACCAUAGGAGGGAUGUUUCUGGUGACAGUAUUGAAAGUGGUGCCAACAAAAUUGUGGAAUUAUGGAGCAACCCCCCCCCCCCCCCCAGUGAUGGUGCUGUGAUUGUAGCAACAACUGGGGUAAAUAGAGCCAAUAGGAAAUAGGAAAUACCCUGGGAUGACAUCUAGCCAACAGGCUGCAAUGUUGCUGACCCUUUUAGAUUUCAAGAGUGGAACCCAGUGUGCACAUGGAUUAAUUUUUUGUUUAAAAAAUAAUUAAAAAAUUGCAAGUGGAAAGUUGUGGGCUGCCCUGUAGCACAUAUUUAUGUCCAAGGCAAUACCCAAAGUGCUUCAGAAGCAUUCAAUGGGAGUAGAUGGGGGAAGAAGGCAAUUGGCUGCAUUCCAAUGCUGUCAACUCGAAUUUAAUUUAUGGUCACUCUAUGAAUGAGAGAUUUCUAAGGUGCAUCUAUACUGUAGACGUAAUGCAGUUUGAUAGCACUUUAACUGUCAUGGCUUAAUACUAUGGAAAAACCAUUCAUUUUAAGUCCUUUGUUGGACACCGUGUUUUCCUUUCAUCUUUUUGCUGUUUUUUAUUUGUACUUAUUUCAAUUUUCUUAUUGUGGUAUUACAAGAAUUUAAAUAAUUUCAUUGUUUGAAUAUGUGAGAAGGAACUUUGCUAAGACUGUGAAGAUGUUCUACAAAUAUUUUAAAAUGUAUAAAUAAUACAUUACAUGGUGUAGGGAAACCAUUCUUCUUUUUUAGAGAAGGAAGUACACCUGCAUGAAUCUGAAAUUUUGAAAUAUGGGUAGAGUAGACUGGAGGAUUCCUAGAAUUAUGUUUUUCUUUCCAUUUCUUUGACCUUGUUGGGAGAAAAGCAGUUGGGGGCGAUUUUAAGUCUACCCAACUAUGCACAGAGUAGACUGGAGGAUUCCUAGAAUUAUGUUUUUCUUUCCAUUUCUUUGACCUUGCUGGGAGAAAAGCAGUUGGGGGCGAUUUUAAGUCUACCCAACUAUGCACAAAAUGCUAUGUUUCCGUUUUCAUGAAUGCCUUUUCUGGGAUGAAAAACAUUGUGGAACUACAUUAAACACUGCUCUGAAUAUUUUUAUAGAGAGGAAAUUUUCUUGGAUAACUGAUUCCUACCCAUUCUAAAGGCAAGACUGAAUUUUAAAGUUGUGGGUCGGCAGUAAACAUUCCUUCCAUCAUGACAGUUUAUGGAAGUAAGCUGCAAUUUUCAUCAUCUCACCAUUUCCAUUUCUCUUGGAAGCAAAAUACUACAUUGGGAUGUUGUAUACUACAUUUCUUUACAUGUUUCUCAAAAGAUUAUUUUAACACUGUCUCUGCUACAGUAGGCAAGUGAAAAUAUGGAGUGGUGCUCAGCACACAUUUAAAAUGUUUUUAAUAGGGAAUAAUUGGGUCUAACCAAUUUGAUGAAACCAGGAUCAGCUACAUUUCAUUGUGCAAAACCAAAAGAUCAACAGUUCUUAAUAUGAACAUUAAAGGUUGCUUGAUAUUUAAAAAGACCAAUUACUACGAACUAAAAUAGGAACAUGAAAGUUCAUACUUGGAAAAACCCACACUGAAUUGAACAUGUUAUUCUGCGAAUAUAAUUGGGUUUAGCAUUUGCAUUCAUCAAUUUAAGCUCAUUUAAACUCAGUUACAUGAAAUACUACAUUCCUAUUUUUAACACUCAUCAAAUCCUCAUAAGCUUUAUGUGAAUGCUUUGUUACAUAGAACAAUGAAGUGAAGAGCAUGUAAUUUUUUCCAGUUUGGUACCUAUGUCACCCUGAGUAAAAUCCUAUGCUACAUGACUGGAAUCUACUUGUGUGAUGUGAUCUUCUUCUGUCGCUUUUACAACCUUUUGGUCAUGGCAAAAAUCUAGGUGAAAUCACUUCUCUCCAUAUUCUGUUGAUGGAGGCCACAGUAGUAGUCGGAUGUAGUGGGAUUCUAGCCAUUACCUCUUGAAGUCCAAACACUCUCAUUGAAGUUUAAGUAUGCCGAAAAUCAUUAUAUGAUGGAACCUGUUUUUAAGAAGGUACAUUCUGUGGUUUCUUUCUGUUAAUGGAAUGUGUCUUGGAGCUGUCAGAUCCUUCUCCUUUUCCUUUUGCUAGUGCAGCCAUGAGGAAGAGACUAGAAGUUUCCAAUGCUGAUUUUAAUGGCUACAGUUUGUAUGGACCCAGAUAAACUACAGUUAGUUUAAAUUAUGGUUUCUAAAACAAGUUGAUCUUAAACUUUGACUUAACCAUAGUUCAAGUUCAAAUGUAACACUAAUGUUAACUGAAAAUAAAAGCAAAAUAUUCCAAUCUGCUUGGAAAAUAUGUCUAAGGAGGAGGAAAGUAGAAUGAAGAAAUGAGCCAUACAUGAACAUUAAGCUCUUUCUCAUUACAAUAAACCAUAAUGUACUAUUAGAACUAAAUGCAGUCAAAGAAGAAAGAAAGACAGACAGAAAGAGAAAUUAAUUUAUGUUAUUUGAGAUGAUAACCAAGGGUGCCAUUAUGGGUUUCAAUAGGAUUGGGACAUGUCUCAGAGCAAAUUUCUAUGACCUGUACCUAGAUAUAAGUAAUUUUAUUUUGGAACACAGCCCAACAUUAAAAUAAUGCUGUGGUUACUUUUCAGAUAUUUCAUAAUAAUCGAAAACAUAGGGGCUAGUCUUGGACUAUAGCUAAAUGUUAUUUCAACCCAUCCCACCACAGGUUCAUCCCAGAAGGCAAGAGAAAACAAGAAGAGUGUUCUACAUAUGAGUUUUGUUCUCUUAUGAGCAAAAUGGUUUAUUUCACCCAUCAGCAGUUAUUGGAACCUCUUAUUUCACUUAGCAUAUCUCCUGCUGUACACGCUCUGUAAUAGGCUGGGAUGACUUUUGGAAUUCUGUUUGCUUAAUUUAAGUUUUUUAAAGUGGUAAUAAAUGUAUAGCAGCUAGUAUAUUAUGAAUAUCAACACAUGCUAGCUCCAGGCCUAGAGCUGGCCUAAUUAUAAAGUGUGAUAAGAGUGAAAGCAUGAGUGAAAAUGAAGGCGAAUGACCAGUGUGUAAUAACUCCGACAGUAUAGGUUUAUGCCAGCAGAAUGCCUGCACAAUUGUAAUUAAGAAAGGAGGCUAUCUCCUCGCUUGAAUGGAAAUGAAGUCCCUUGUAGAUAUACUAGCUGAGGCAAACAGGAAGCUUACAACUUCUGCUGGACCACAGGUGUGGCUAUAGGUAAGAUCUUUAUUUUGAUUGGAUUAGAUAACAGGAAGACAGUGAGAUUGACUGGCUAAAUGAAAACUGAAUCUUAUAUAAAACAGAACUCUUUUGAGCAGCAAGCACCAGCUUUUCCUCUCAGAAAACAGUUCUAUCUCUUAAGAUGCUGCUGCCGCCGCCGCCACAUACUCACUGAUAACCCUAAUUCCUACAUGUGGCAAGAUUUAAAUUUCUUGAUGAAUCUUUUUAUCUAAUACCCAACGGAAUGUUACUGUUGAAAUAAUGUUAAACAUAUGCUAGGGGAGGAAGCACUUAUGUUUCUAUAUAAUUCUAACAGAGAUUUAAGUUUGUUGUAAGAUUAUGCCUAGACAGAUUCAAGGUCUAUGCUGAGGACAGUGCAUUCAUUUGUGCUAUCAGUAUUACUAAAAUAACUAUAAAGCUGCAGUGUAUUCUCCUAUUAAUUUACAAAUAUACCAAGACUAAAGAAUACUUAAGGGGAAUAUAGAUGUUGUUCUGAUUAUAGGAUAGAACUGGGGUUUGCAGGCUUGGGAGACUAGGUGAUUAACAGGGCAACUCUCAAAGAACCUUCAAUCCGUUACAAAAUAUAGGGUGGAGGAGCCAAGCCAGUGGCAAGCCUGGCAAGAACCAUAGCAGCUAAUAUAGCCAUAAAAGAGAGGUUGGUGGAACUGAUUGCAGCUAAGAAGCUGCAAAAUCCUGCAUGGUCCUAAUCAGAAAGACUUAGGAAGCAUGGACAAGGGCCCUUCCCAAACCUCAUGACAUGAAAAGGCAUGAGAAGGUAACAAUUGCAAAUACAGUAGAGUCUCACUUAUCCAACAUAAACGGGCCGGCAGAAUGUUGGAUAAGCAAAUAUGUUGGAUAAUAAGGAGGCAUUAAGGAAAAGCCUAUUAAACAUCAAAUUAGGUUAUGAUUUUACAAACGAAGCACCAAAACAUCAUGUUAGACAACAAAUUUGGCAGAAAAAGUAGUUCAAUACGCAGUAAUGCUAUGUAGUAAUUACUGUAUUUAUGAAUUUAGCACCAAAAUAUCACGAUUAUUGAAAACAUUGACUACAAAAAUGCGUUGGAUAAUCCAGAACGUUGGGUAAGUGAGAAUCUACUGUAAUGUCCUUGUCUUAUACAAACAGGGCUUUUUGACUGCUUUUUGUAGAAUUGCAAAUAGAAUCCUGCUAAAAGUGGCUUCAUCAUCUUUGAAAUGAGAAAUGGUGAAUUGUUGAUGGGAAAUAACAUGAUACUCUACAGAGGUGGCAUAGAGGAACCAAUCUAUGUCCACAUGGUUAUAUAUAACCGAGGUGAUG
This 4675-nucleotide long non-coding RNA is filed under the name Anolis carolinensis (green anole). RNAcentral describes it as "lncRNA (ENSACAG00000040010.1)". The record is from RNAcentral. Lineage: Eukaryota; Metazoa; Chordata; Lepidosauria; Squamata; Anolidae.